Molecule: transfer RNA, 88 nt
Filed under: Bacteroidales bacterium
Lineage: Bacteria; Pseudomonadati; Bacteroidota; Bacteroidia; Bacteroidales
Description: tRNA-Ser
Rfam family: tRNA
About the family: Transfer RNA (tRNA) molecules are approximately 80 nucleotides in length. Their secondary structure includes four short double-helical elements and three loops (D, anti-codon, and T loops).
Source: RNAcentral
GGAAAGAUGCCGGAGUGGUCGAUCGGGGCGGUCUCGAAAACCGUUGUGCCUUCGGGCACCCAGGGUUCGAAUCCCUGUCUUUCCGCCA